This 23-nucleotide non-coding RNA is filed under the name Arabidopsis thaliana (thale cress). Lineage: Eukaryota; Viridiplantae; Streptophyta; Magnoliopsida; Brassicales; Brassicaceae. The record is from RNAcentral.
UAUUAUGUACAUAUUUUCAGGAC